CCAUAUGGCCAUACCACUCUGAACCCACCUGAUCUCAUCUGAUCUCAGAAACUAAGCAGAGUCAGGCCUGGUUAGUACUUGGAUGGGAGGAAUGCUGUCAUAAUUUAGA
Molecule: ribosomal RNA, 109 nt
Organism: Theropithecus gelada (gelada)
Lineage: Eukaryota; Metazoa; Chordata; Mammalia; Primates; Cercopithecidae
Source: Ensembl